AAAUUAGGGCCCAAUACAUGAUAUGGCCCAAGCCUUGAAAAUUUAGUUCAUUAAUUAUAUUGGCCCAUCAUCUAUUUAGUAUAUGUGUCUCUAGAAGUUUCAAGACUUCCAAAGAGAGCUAAGUCAUCUUCCAAAGAGAAGAAGAGACCGAUACUAGAGGAAGAAAAGGGGAAAAAUUCCAAGUUUUUCAACUUUGAUCCAAAAACCUUGUCUUCUUGAAUUCUUGUCAAGUUCGAGGCCCUCUUCAACGUGGUAUAAUUAAUUGAGCGAGAAAGUUUCAUUUGUGGCAAGUCAAAAAUUGAAGAAAAGAUUUUGGAAGAAACGGGAUUUGAAUUUGAGUGAGCGUAAGAAGCGGAUAAGGUAUAGACGUUCUGGAUCCAUCGGCGUAGGCUGCAUACCUUCCUCUACUACAGAGUGCUCUAUUGACUCGGAGCCGCAUUUUGGUAUAUGCCUUUCUGAUGUACACACUCUUAUGUAUUUGAAUAUUUGGGUAUGGCGGGGCCCUGUCCCGUCAUAUGUUUUCGUUAUGCUUUGGUAGAGGCCUGUAGACAUAGGUGUGGGUCAUGGGUCGUAUAUGUUCGUUCGCGUAUGAUUUGUAUCUUAAUGUGGCCCCUUUUGUUAUAACGGCCAAAACGGCCCAUAUGUUUGUAUAUAUGUACGUAUCCGGUGACGCACCCUCCGUUGCCCCUUUUUGGUUUGAUAAAUUAUUUUUCUGCAUACGCGGCUACUGAAAUUAAGGAUAGCCUGCUAUUCUGAUUGAGACUAAUAUUAAAUUGGAAUUAUUUUGUAAUA
Long non-coding RNA from Solanum dulcamara, 792 nucleotides. RefSeq lists it as uncharacterized. NCBI's taxonomy places the organism in Eukaryota, Viridiplantae, Streptophyta, Magnoliopsida, Solanales, Solanaceae. The record is from RefSeq and is a predicted model, not a curated record. The transcript is spliced from 3 exons.